AUACGGUGAAAGAGCGAGAUCCCCGCAUUUGGUUAAGAUUCUACAUGCGGUGAAUUCAAUUACCACGCCGCAAUCUUAGAUGGGUUUUACAUACGGUGAGCAUGUAUGGCGCAGGAAAUGCCAAAUAUCAAGGCUUGCUAACAAAUUUACAGCUGCGUGGGUUAAUGGAUAUGCGGUGAAUAAAUUAUAAGAACCCACUCACAGAAUUAGAUCGAUGGGUUUUCCGAACGCUGGAUUCAAACAAUAGUUGAGAGCAAAUUUAUGGGUUUUUGGAUUCACUGAUGCAGCAACGUCGUUGCAGGAAUUUAUGGGUUUUUCGAUUCACUGGCUUCAAAUCACAUUAACGUUAUUUAAAGCUCAUGUUCUUCACCCAAGCAUCCACUAGCCCUCAAAGGAAGACUUGAUAAUUAAUGGUGCCUCAAAGGAUGACGAGUCUGACUGAAGGCAAUAACAUAAUUACUCGCCUGGAAUAUUAUGAAAGAACUUGGAAGAAUAGUAGUACACAACAGAUUUGUUAAGUUGUAUACAUGGCUUGAAUUCAAUGAGAAAUAUUAUUUGUUGAUCUU
Juglans regia (Persian walnut) is the source of this 566-nucleotide long non-coding RNA. RefSeq lists it as uncharacterized. NCBI's taxonomy places the organism in Eukaryota, Viridiplantae, Streptophyta, Magnoliopsida, Fagales, Juglandaceae. The transcript has 2 exons. The record is from RefSeq and is a predicted model, not a curated record.